Long non-coding RNA from Cephus cinctus (wheat stem sawfly), 6588 nucleotides. RefSeq lists it as uncharacterized. Lineage: Eukaryota; Metazoa; Arthropoda; Insecta; Hymenoptera; Cephidae. The record is from RefSeq and is a predicted model, not a curated record. The transcript has 6 exons.
AUCAGGAAGAAGAAUAAGGUUAAGGACUCCAGUAAUCCAGAUCAAUACCUAAAAUAGUAACGAAGGGUCCAGGAAGAACCUUGCUAGAAGUACAAAUUUUUAGAGAUAGGUUAAAAUACCAAGGAUGAGUAAUCUUCAAGAGAUAUAUGGGCCAGUCUGUUGAUGACGUCAGUCGUUCUAGGACUAUAGCUCCUAGGGAGCCUGGGUCGAACGUAAAACGAAGAACGGGUAACGUCGGCGCCGGACGUCGAGACGGUCCUCCUCCUGGAACCCCCUUAACAACGGGAGAGCAACGCACCCUAUUUCUAUUCACAAGCCCUGCAAUCACAGCACAAUUUACACUGGAGGCUCCUCCGUACUCAGUUUACCCCUUUUUGCAUCAGGAUUCGGCAGCCCGUUAAUUGGAUCACUUUCUCAGGUUAUGAAAUUUACUUUUUUUUAGAAAGACAAUUUUUUUCUAAAAAUUACCUCAAUACUUUUUUUCUAUUCGUUCUAGUACUUUAUAUGCUGGAGGAUGAGCCCUUGGGUGUGAUGCUCAUGCCGUGACACACGAACUUUCCCUGCAGAGAUGAACUUUCUCUAUCGUAACGACUCUCGGUCGACUCGGUACCUCCACGCUUAAUUACUCCGUUCCCGCUGGCUGUAAGCACUGAAUUAUCACGCUUCACGAUUAACCGAGUGGCUGCUAGAAAUUCAAAUUCCACGUUCAACGAACCUGCGUAACUUCAAGGUUACAACCUACGGAUUGACCUGCGGCCAGGUUGUCUGCUGCGCACUUUCAAUGGAGUCAACGAAAAAGUACUGUUAAUCCGUGACAAGGACGCUUGCCUUGAUUCGAUGUCGCUAAAGUAUGCAGUAUCCUGAGCAAUGGAAACGUCCGCAAUCUCUUCUUGUAGGAGGACGACUUAUCCUACUGCGUGGUACACCGCAUUUCCGUUCCCAGAGGCAUUUUAUUGACUUAUAGUAAUUAGAUAUGCCAAAGGACUUUGUAACAUGAAAAUGAUUAAGGCUACAUAUCAAGACCGUUGAUGCAGAUAAAAUGGACGUUCACUGUUAUAAGUGUCGCUACUGCAAGAACUGACGUGCAGAGACCUCAAUACCUAGGAAUAUAACAAAAUGCCCAGUUCUUUCUCGGCAAGCAUUCAAGUCUUUGGGAAAGUUCAAGAUUAGUAUGGAAGGUGCGACUUAUUGCAAGAAUAGAAAAAAGGAAAUACGUCCUCGGAGUAAAUUAUAAGGGAGACGUCCACGCGAAGAUGACUAUCGUCUGACUCACCGUCUAGAUAAAUAUCGAUUAGCAACCCCAAUCGAGUCAGCUGGUCACGUUCCAAUGGGAAUAAAAAUAAAGAAGCGAAUACGUAGUUCGCUUGGUAGUCCUUAAAAAGAUACAAUCAAGAUUUGCAUAUCGUCCUUUCUAUACAGUCAGCCGUUUUGUCCUCUGUGCGUAUAAAAUUAUUUAGAUUAUAAAAGCGAUCGCAUCUGGUUCAACGUUCCGUACGAAUUUACACUUUUUCCACGUUGCGAAUGACUGACGUUCUUCAGCCAAGAAGAAUUCACUUCUUUAUACACGUCACAGAAUACUGGUACCAGCCACUACCCAUUGGGUAUGAUAAAACGUUUUUUCUUUUUCAUUCAGGAAAGUUGGAAACUUCCUUGAUAAGGUAUUCCUACGCUACGCUCACUCAGUCCGGUAUCGAAGCUGGCCUGCUGCUGGCUCAUGGUACGCCAUUUCUCAUGACUUGCUCGCAAGUAGGUGGAACGUGAGCCUGUCGUGCAAUACUUCAAUCAUCAUGAGUCGCCGUCAUCGCAAUUAUCGCAAUCAUCGUGCUAUGUAGCAGCGCCAACCAGUUUGAUGCCGCCAUUGUGAAGCACUGUCCGAGCGAGGCAUUUUGUGUAACAAUAUCUACUGCUUUGCUUGGGAAUAUAUUAUUGCAAGAGGAAAAUAAUACUGAUACCAUGUAAGAUGCAAGAUAAUUCCAAGAUAAUUAGAAAGCGACGUGAACACCAAUUUUUCGUUAAAUUAUUCUGUUAGCUUGGGAAUCAAUGGAGUCGUAAAUUGUAUAGUAUCCGUGAUACAGAAGUACCGAAAAUAAACUAGGCGUGAUGGAAUUCUUAAUGUAAAAAGUACACGCUAGAUGUCAGUCAGAACGUUGGAAAAAGCCGAAAUAUAUUAUUCUGUGCGAAAAGACUCAUAGAGUCUGUAUCGUUGGGUUGCUUAAGGGGUUAUGUAUACGGUCAGCAGGCCCAGAAAAAUCGAUUUUUCAAGAAUUUUUCUUAAGAAGACCUUUUAAUGUAUUAAUGUAAAAAUUUGUACACAUAUUAUGGUAACUUUUAACUGUAUUUUAACAAAUUUUUUAUUUGUAAAAAUAAUUAUUUUCAAAGCUGCUAUAGGUGAUCUCCGGGAGCACCUCUAAAAAAAGGCGUCUUGCGGUGAGAACGAUAUCUCUGGACUGGAUCAUUUAAAAUGAAAAAACCAAAAAUAUUUCAUUAAUAUAAUGUAUUAUCUUGUAAUUCGUCGAAGGAAUAAGCAAAAUAAUAAAUUUGACAAAACGGGGGCUUCUCAAAAAAAAAUCGGUUUUUGACAAAAAUUUAGGCCUUAAAUUGUUUAUAAAAUGGAAAAUAUUUAUCAGUGAGAAAAAACCUUCGAUUAAUUACUAAAAAAUAUACUUAAAAAGCUUGUGUUAAAGUUUCAGACUGAUCGGUUCAGCCGUUUUCGAGAAAUCUAGCUCAUCGACUUUAAAAACACAGGUUUGACAAAAACGCGUUUAAAGUUUCAAAGUACUUUGAAAGUACGUUAAAACGCUUUGCCACGUCAUUACAAAUGUGCCUGUAACUUCGAGAAUAUUCGCCGGAUUGACAAGAAAUUUUUUUGUGUACGUACUUAAAUACAUGUACAUUACGAAAAUAAAGUGAAAAAAAAAUCGAUUUUUUGAAAAUUUGAACUGUAUAUAACCCCUUAAAAUAGAUGGACCAAUCUUAAUAAUCUCGGCGUGUCCGAAGAAAAGUGGAGUACAGUCAAGUUGCCAAUUUAAGAGACUAGAGUGUAUCUAUAAUAAAAAUAUAUUACAGAACGUAUUUCUCGAAUGGUAACCACACCGAAAAUAGCAGGUGCGAAUUUACGAUAACCACAAAACAAAGUGACUGCGCCACGUUGGACGAAAAUAGCACCAAACGAGAAUCGGUUAGCAUAAUCCAUGGAAAGAACCAGUCCCAAAGAAAAUACGACCGUCCAGGAACUUAAGAUGCCCACUAAGAACGAACGUGAAAGUUCGAGACCCGAAAAAUCUCUAAUUUCACAAAACCUAAAAAGGGCUUUGGGUAUAGGACCAUCUAUUCUAUUGCCAGGUAGCGAAAGCACAAAGAAUUCUACACAGACGUACUUCUUUGUCAGGAUGACAUUCGUGCGUCCCUCAAGCUGAAACGACGUCAAGCCCACGAGGAGUUAGACCAAUCAUAUCUGAAAAGGAGUUCUCCCUCGCGCUAACUAUACUACAAGGCGAUGCACAAAUGCUACCAUAAAUACAGGAAGAUACUAUUUGCUGGCAAAGAGAGUGUGCUUGCUCAAGUUUCUGAUUCAUCGAUCAAAGAAGCUGUUAACGACAAAAAUUGGCAACCGUACCAGGUUAAAGAAAGAAAGGAUGGAAUCUGCCUCUAGAAUAAUUUCAGGACACUUUCAGUACUACUACCCGGGUACAAAAUAUUCAAAUCCCUAUAUAAGUCUACUGACGUAGCUAUACGCAUAGAUGUCACUGCACGUACAUGGAUAAAGCACGUCUGUACGUAUAAAGAGUGAAACGGUAAAAGGCACGAUGACGUUGGGACGUGAAUCAUCGAUCAAAGAAAACAUAACCGGAAGCAUAUGAGUUAAUGAAUAUUCUACCAAUUAUGUCUUCCCUACGUUUCAAGAAUAAUGCACCAGGUGUAACGUGACCUUGAAUUUUUCCAGAUUCUACAGUAGCAGCCAAUUCCAUUCGCAUGCAGAUUACACUGAAGGGUAGUGACUUGAAGGUUAUGUGCUUUUAGGCCUGCCUUAAGAUUCUGUCAGGAGAGGCCGAAGGCUGUAGGACUGUAAUGGCGAGUGCGGGUAUUCGCAAAGGAGAAUGAAGUCUGCAGAGGGAAUGAACGAAUAGGAGCGGGGGCUUAAUUUCGCCGAGCUCAUAUAAAGGACAAAGAGUGAACUAGUGUAAUGCUGGCUUCACAUGUGGGCAACGGUUAGCGGCCCACACACGACCAUUUAAGUCUACCUACGACAUAGCAAGACGAUAAAAAUUAUUUGUCCGACCACGAGGUUGGGCCGAUAAUCAAUAUGGCGGAUAUGGAUUCUGGGUUUGAGAAAAGCCAAAAAAAAGAGUAAUAAGAAUCUAAGUGAUACGGAUAACCAAGAACUUAACAAGCAUGCGGUCGGAUACGUAUGAAAAAUACAUUUAGAGAAAAGCCCAGCAAGGAAAUCAUGCCGGAUCCUAAUGCACGUCUACUUUCCAGUGUAAAUCGGACGGAAGGUUUAUGAUUCACGUAAGAAAAGUAUGGCGGCGAGGCGUAACGAAAGAUACUAGAUUUUAAUCUUAAAAAUAAAAAAAAAUAAAAUCGUAUCCUUCUUAGUAAAUGACGAAGCGGUAAACAAGUCAUCGGUGUGCGUUAUGAAUGAAGAUCUCUUAAAGCGUUAACUAUACAAGCCCAAGAGCGUUCGUAUCAAAGAUAUUUAGAUGAUCAGGAUGAAAUUAUAAAUAUAAUCAAAUCUCUUAAAGAAUCUUGUAAACAUUGCGAAACGCCGAUAAACGAACGUACAUGCGUGCCUGAAAUAGGUACUGCGCGUGAAUUCUUUCACUUUCACGUCCCUUUCGACAUUUUCUUUUCAUCUCAUAUUCCCCAUUGCCGAAUCUACGCGAUCGCCAUCUUACGCAAGCGUGAAGUUUCGUUUUUCUUUUACCGUUUCUUCUAAAUUACGUAUACCGGUAGCCUCGUUGCUGGCACACAAAGUGCGAAAGGCAAACAUUGUCUCCCUGUAAAUGGGUCGUGGUAGUAAGCGUUUCACGGUGGAUUCAAGUCAAACAAUCUGUUCGGUUUACUAUCGUAUCGAGUCAAUAUGAGGAUAAUGGCUUUUAUGCAAGUCAAGUAUCAGAUAAAUAAUGAACGACAAACCAUUGAGGUAUAGAGGAAUGAAUUAUGAAUUCCAACUAAUAUAAAAGUCUCUUUUGUAUUAUAUAAUGUAGUUACACGAGCUUGAAUUUACAUUGAAUUAUAGGAAAAGGAAUACACUGAUAUUCCAUGUAUGCUGAAAACUGAAUCGCUGUAAAGAAAGUAUCGAGGCGUAAGAACGAAUGGCUUCUUGGCAGAGACUCCAUGUUCUCCAUAGAAGGAUGGGAAAGGCCUUGCAAGUCUCGAGAAACUUCAUCGACUGUGUGUAUAUAUGUAUGUGGUCGUGUAUAUAUAAAGUACAUAUGGUUAAACGUAGAAUGAAUAGUUUAAGAUGAGGAAAGUCGUGACGAAUUCUUAUGUCUAUCUUUUGACUCUGACUCUUUAUAAGACUGGAAUGAGACUGAAUAUUCUAGUGUCUAACGAUUUUUUUUUAAACAAAAACUAAAUGGCCUCGUCGUUUUCUUUCCUGAUAUAAGUCUAAGGACAAAUAAUAUUUCCUUGAUUGAGGUAAACGAGGGUCUCCUAAAAAACUGAGUGUAUAAAACUAUGUAUACAUAUAUACGUAAUUAACUACAUAUUUAUAUUAUAUAUGUAAAAUGCAUGUAACCAGCUGACAUGAAUAUCAAUAGGAAAAUGACUGGUCCCGCGGGUGCUGAGAAUGACACAAAGAAUAAUUGUAAUUACUGUAGAUUAAAGAAAGAACGGACAAGAGUCGCGAGAACCAAGAGAUUAAUAGCGUUUAAGUAAAUUCUCUUUGUUAUAAUUUCUCGUGAUACGAUAACCCUGUUGGUAUAUACGUUUGACCGGUAUUGACAGUGCACUGUCACUUGACAGAAGAGUAAUGUCAACGAACUCACUUAGCUCCAAGUACAAACAAAUUACUAUUACAAAUACAAGACCGGAUUAACCAAACGAAUUUUAUGGUUGAUUUCAAGCAUUUAAUUUAGCCGGAUAAACACUGUCAAUCGUACACCACACAUGAGUGAAGGCCAAUGAUCAGCUGAAAAUUGCCGCGAAAACCAUGUGUGUCAAUAAAUAGUAUUGAAAGAAUGAUAAUUCCAAUUGUCAGAUCCCAGCAUUCAUUCGAAUUUUUCAUUAGUAAUCCCAUCAGCUGACACUGACGAAAUUAAGGAGCCAGACAAUGCUAUCAAAGAUACAAAGGAUUUUAAGGUACCCGGAGCGAUACCCCGCCCAGCUGAGAAAGGUGCGUAGACAGUGGCGAGGGCAUGCUUUUCUAGAUUGUAAAUAAACCAAAAGGAUUCAGAGUGAAGAGGAUGAAAAAGAAGAAAAAAUAGUCCUCCAUAUAUGCAGGCAGUGGAAUGCAGAGGAGAGACAGCUUCGUGGGGGUUACGUAGGGAACGUGCAUGCGUGCUCAUACAUGCACGGGUUACUGGCUUUGAGUAAUAGCAGCAGCAGCAGCAACACUUCCGAUUAUAAAAGGCGGCUCUCAUUUCG